AGGCCGCUCCCACAGCAUAG
This 20-nucleotide unclassified non-coding RNA is filed under the name Mus musculus (house mouse). Its description in RNAcentral is "oocyte_clustered_small_RNA13314". The record is from RNAcentral. Lineage: Eukaryota; Metazoa; Chordata; Mammalia; Rodentia; Muridae.